CAGCAAACCUCAACCCGGGGUGCCGGUAGGUCCCUCACUGUGAGCCGGUCCUCUCACGCUGCUCAGGGCGGCACAGCAGAGAGCAGGCCCAGCCGCUGACCAGGCCUGGACUCUGGACUGAGACAGACCUGGGUCUGACACGGGGCCCAACGCCUCCUGCCCGAGUGGCCUUGGGCGUGCCACUCAGCCCCUCUGUGCCUCCUCCCCCAAGAAAGGAGGUAAGCCACCUAUCGCCGGCUGAGCUUUAAUGAACCAACUUCACCCAAAUCGAAAGAAGCAAAAGGAUCCAAUCAGGCAGUGGCCCCAAAGGGGACUUCCCCACCAAGACGGGAGCUUCCCCCAGGUCACACUCUGCUCCAUCUUCUGGGGACCCCCAGCCUGGAGGUUCCUCUCUCUAGAGACCUCAGUGCCAGAGGAAUAAAUGGCUCAAAUAUCUUCUCUUUUUGCCCUAAAAGACAGACCGUUACCACCAGAAUGGACCCAGACCAUAAGUCCCGGAAGCAGCGAGGCCAUGCCCAUCGUUCCCCCGUCAACUGCCAGCCUCCAGCCCGGGGCCAAGCGCACGGCACGUGCUUGAUAAAUAAUUCUCAGUUUAUGAAAAAGCGAAUGUCGGAGCCAAGCUCUGGAAGUCCCGGGAGAUCUUUUAAAAAGAUGCUUUUUUAAAGACGUAUUCCCAAAUUCUCCAGCCGGGAUGGUGACUGAUGGCUCUGGAAGCAGCGCAAACAGGCCGGGCCGGGCUGGCGCUUUACAAGGACAAACGCGCAUCAGGCGCUCCGUGCCCUCAACGGAGCCGCGCUUUAUCUCUGCCUGCAGAACGCAUCGAUCUCGACGUCAAUCAGAACCAGCUCGCCUCGUAACUCACACAACAGGCUGGGGAGCUGAUCAAACGCUCUGUUAAAGCGGCACUUUAAUAACAAUAUCGCUUAGAUCUCAACUGCUUAAUUAGAUUUCACUCAUUGCCAUCACUUGCCUCAUUUGAACGGCUCGUUUAUAAUUUACGGUCUUUAUGCAUUUGGUUGUUCAUUUGUAAAAUGAGAGAGAACAACCACCAGGCAAAGGAAAGCGGGAGAAGAAAUGGAUUUGACUUCUCCCAGGGGCCAAGGGGCCUGCAAGUGGGAGGCCUGCGGCCAAGCGGAGAGCAGGCUCAGAAUCUCUCGCUCCUCUGCUAGAAGCUUCUACGGUUCCUCUGGACAAGUACCCCCGGCCCUACGUCUUUGCGGUUGGCGCUUCCUCCAGCUUCAGACAUAGGCUCCGCCCAUCAGCUUGUCUGACUCCGAUCAGCACCAGGAUUAGUUCAGGAAUAGGCACAUGAUCAACCCCACCCAAUGAGAACGAGCCUUGGGAUAUUUGCUGCAACUCCCAGGACAGAGUCUGCAGCGCCAGGGGGCCAGCCUCCCUCUGAGAUGCUGCCGUCCUACAGUGAAACUCACGUGGUUGCGGCAGGACCGCUGCAAACUGCUCCAGCUCUAAGUGUCCAAAGUUACCACGACCGCUUAUGUAACGGGUGCCGCCUUGAGCUCACUGUGUAACCGCAUUGGGCUCAUUAUGUAAUGGCCUGCCCGUGGGCCCUGAGCAGGCCCAGUUGUUACACAGCUGUAACAUAUCCUCCGCCCUCUGGGCACUAAGCGUGGGGGUGGGGGAGAGACCUCCUUUGGGAGCUAUCCACCGUGCUCUCCAUUGCUUGUGCAAGCAAUAAAGCUUUUUUCUUCGCCCA
This 1714-nucleotide long non-coding RNA is filed under the name Equus caballus (horse). Its description in RNAcentral is "lncRNA (ENSECAG00000054680.1)". The record is from RNAcentral. Lineage: Eukaryota; Metazoa; Chordata; Mammalia; Perissodactyla; Equidae.